RNAcentral lists this ribosomal RNA (440 nucleotides) under uncultured bacterium. Its description in RNAcentral is "partial 16S ribosomal RNA". It matches the Rfam family "Bacterial small subunit ribosomal RNA", at positions 338 to 795 of the family's 1533-position model. The record is from RNAcentral.
CCUACGGGGGGCUGCAGUGGGGAAUAUUGGACAAUGGGCGCAAGCCUGAUCCAGCAAUGCCGCGUGGGUGAAGAAGGUCUUCGGAUUGUAAAGCCCUUUCGACGGGGACGAUGAUGACGGUACCCGUAGAAGAAGCCCCGGCUAACUUCGUGCCAGCAGCCGCGGUAAUACGAAGGGGGUUAGCGUUGCUCGGAAUUACUGGGCGUAAAGGGCGCGUAGGCGGCCCUGCAAGUCAGGCGUGAAAUUCCCGGGCUCAACCUGGGGGCUGCGCUUGAGACUGCGGGGCUAGAGGCCGAGAGAGGGUGGUGGAAUUCCCAGUGUAGAGGUGAAAUUCGUAGAUAUUGGGAAGAACACCGGUGGCGAAGGCGGCCACCUGGCUCGGUACUGACGCUGAGGCGCGACAGCGUGGGGAGCAAACAGGAUUAGAUACCCUGGUAGUC